GGGCGUAAGAGCUCGUAGGCGGCUUGUCACGUCGGGUGUGAAAGACCCGGGGCUUAACCCCGGGUCUGCAUUCGAUACGGGCUAGCUAGAGUGUGGUAGGGGAGAUCGGAAUUCCUGGUGUAGCGGUGAAAUGCGCAGAUAUCAGGAGGAACACCGGUGGCGAAGGCGGAUCUCUGGGCCAUUACUGACGCUGAGGAGCGAAAGCGUGGGGAGCGAACAGGAUUAGAUACCCUGGUAGUCCACGCCGUAAACGGUGGGAACUAGGUGUUGGCGACAUUCCACGUCGUCGGUGCCGCAACUAACGCAUUAGGUUCCCCGCCUGGGGCGUACGGCCGCAAGGC
This 341-nucleotide ribosomal RNA is filed under the name Streptomyces bobili. Its description in RNAcentral is "bacterial SSU rRNA". It matches the Rfam family "Bacterial small subunit ribosomal RNA", at positions 556 to 894 of the family's 1533-position model. The record is from RNAcentral. Lineage: Bacteria; Bacillati; Actinomycetota; Actinomycetes; Kitasatosporales; Streptomycetaceae.